UUUAAAUGAAUUAAAAUUCCCGGUUAGAAUAUUCUCAGAAAAACAAACAAAUCAAGAUCAUUCGAGAAAAGUUGUCUUAGACUUGAAGCUGUUAGAAAUUUCCAUUUUAUUCAUGAAUAAAAAUUGUCUCCAGAUUGGAAGUCACUCGAACAGCAGCAAAGAAUAGUCUUCGCUUCAUGGAAAGAAGACAACUCCGAAGAAAAUACGUUUCCAGUAGGAAGACCUCAUAUCCAAAACAGGUUCUCUUCUCCUAACUAGAAGAUCUUUAACAGUGUGUAGACGAGAAUACUUCUGAUGAUGUGAAGAACGACAUUUGAUGGCGUUACUAGAUGAAACGUUAGACACUAACUAUUUGCUUCAAUAGUAUUUGAAUUUACAGAAGGCAUAAAGCUGAUGUAUCCGUCCCGGAGAUCGAACCUGGAAUUCCAGUGUUAUAUGCACUUAAGUUUACCGCUGAGCCACCAGAGGAUAGUUUUUUUUGAACUCGUCUAAACAUCAUUGGUUUCCUAAGCAAUUUGUUUGUUUGUUCUAGUCCAGAAAUUACGUCAGGCUUCUAUAGAACGUUAUCGGAUUAUUUAAUCAUUGGUUUUCUGAAUCUUAAACCACACUCAAAUAUUCUAAACACACACUUUUUAUAGAAAUAUUUGAUCUUCAUGAACGCCAGCUUCUAAAACUAUAAGCUACUAUCUCUAUUCAGUCGUGAAAAAGUAUAAAACUAAGCUAAAAUUACUUAAUAAAACAAUCCAAUGGGGAGAUGAAUAAAACUCACCCUUUGAAGCUGACCAUAAAGUUCAAAUAUCUAUAUAAAGCGCGCGUGUUUAAAACAUUUUGGAACGUUUUAAGACUCAAAAAGCCAAUAGAGAUGGCAAAACUGAAACUAACUUCUGGUAUGUGAUGCUUAAGCUUGGAAAGCGAAGA
Long non-coding RNA from Limulus polyphemus (Atlantic horseshoe crab), 918 nucleotides. RefSeq lists it as uncharacterized. The transcript has 3 exons. The record is from RefSeq and is a predicted model, not a curated record. Lineage: Eukaryota; Metazoa; Arthropoda; Merostomata; Xiphosura; Limulidae.